Long non-coding RNA from Zalophus californianus (California sea lion), 1156 nucleotides. RefSeq lists it as uncharacterized. The transcript has 3 exons. The record is from RefSeq and is a predicted model, not a curated record. NCBI's taxonomy places the organism in Eukaryota, Metazoa, Chordata, Mammalia, Carnivora, Otariidae.
AGAGCAGCCCCUCUGGGAAUCACGAUGAACAUUCUGAGGUUUGAACACCUGGAAAGUUCCCUGCGUCUCACAGACAUGAGCAAAAAAACGUCAACCGAUCACUCGGCAACCCCACCAACGGAAAUUUCUCCCUCCCUGGGGCUCCCUUCUGAGGUUUUUCCUUAACAGUUUGGAGCAGCCGAGGAAAAAAUGUGACGCAAUCUAGGCACCUCCUGCGGACCUCCGGACCCGCCAAAAUUUUACCUUUAAAUAAUCUGGACACCCAAGGUGGAGCUCGAACUCACGACCCUGAGAUCAAGAGUCGCGUGCUCCACGGACUGAGCCAGUCAGGCGCCCUGAGACUUUUUUGGGGGUGGAAAUUGCCUCACUUCAGAACUGUUAGCAGUUCAGGGCAAGGUUCCUCCAAUACAGAAUGUGUACCAAUCUCUCAGAGCUUUUGAUGAUCCGCCUGCUCAUUGUACAGAUAAAAACUAUGGCCCCGGGGGCACCAGGGUGGGUAACCGUCUGAUUUCAGCUCCGGUCACGAUCUCAGCGUUGUGAGAUGGAACCCUGCCCCAGGCUCCUCCUUCGGUGGGGAGUCGGCUGGUCUCCCUCUCCCUCUGCCCUUCCCCGCUCGUGCUCGCCCGCCCUCUAAACAGAUAAAUAAAAUGUUUAAAAAACAAAAAAACGUUGGCCCCCGGGAGCUGUAAGUUUCCUCAACCUGGGUUCAAAUCACAAAAUAUCAUUUAAAACUUCACUGGCCUCCUUGGGGCACCCUUGAUAUCCCUAAAUUGUGUAUUUAAGAGCACAGUUGGAAAGGUGAAGCUGUCGUACUUCACAGAAUCAACGGAAGCCUAUUUCAUUUGGUACUUAGAAGCCCCCAAAAGAACCUACUCAGUCGUAGCCUCUGCAGAAGAAAAAAACUCAAUCAAAGAAAGAUGAAAACAAUUAGAACAACUCAACACUGAAUCAAAAAUUACCCCACAUCUUCCAUUUCCAGUUCUCUGUCCCCCCACAGCAUGCCUUCUAUUUCUUCUGCUAUAUGCAGAUCUUUCCAAACUUCCUUUUCUCCCCUCUGAAGUUUCUCCUUCCCCAGCCCUGCCACCAGCCAUCCUCCCAAAACUAUCAUAGCACCUUUUAAAGUCACAGUUACUUGUACUGAUCCCAAUAAUCAGGU